UGCAUGUGGAGCUUUCCACCCUUCCAGAACACUCUCAUGUGUCCCUGAGCUUUAUUCUUACAGCAACCCAGGGAGCUGAUCAGCAUGAAUGAGGCUGGAAGGAGGCUCAGAGAAUCCAUCUUCCCAGUGAACUUGAAACACAAGAAGCAAGUGGAGCAGAGGGGAGAGAAUCUCUUUGAAAACGCAGUGGGAGACAGAGCCAAGUAACGGAAAGAAACAAGGACUAGUGACAUCAUUUGACUCCUUUGAUCAAGUCACCUCUAACCAUGAACUUUUCACUGACAGUUAAUAAAUUAAUAUUUUGCUUAAGCAAGUUUGUAUUAAGUUUUUUUUUUUAAUUUUGCUGCUGCUGACACCCCUGCUACUUAAUGGAAAGAGGAUUUUC
Molecule: long non-coding RNA, 385 nt
Filed under: Homo sapiens (human)
Lineage: Eukaryota; Metazoa; Chordata; Mammalia; Primates; Hominidae
Description: HSALNT0066449
Source: RNAcentral